RNAcentral lists this ribosomal RNA (497 nucleotides) under uncultured bacterium. RNAcentral describes it as "partial 16S ribosomal RNA". It matches the Rfam family "Bacterial small subunit ribosomal RNA", at positions 28 to 507 of the family's 1533-position model. The record is from RNAcentral.
GAUGAACGCUGGCGGCGUGCCUAAUACAUGCAAGUCGAGCGAACAGAUGAGGAGCUUGCUCCUCUGACGUUAGCGGCGGACGGGUGAGUAACACGUGGAUAACCUACCUAUAAGACUGGGAUAACUUCGGGAAACCGGAGCUAAUACCGGAUAAUAUAUUGAACCGCAUGGUUCAAUAGUGAAAGACGGUUUUGCUGUCACUUAUAGAUGGAUCCGCGCCGCAUUAGCUAGUUGGUAAGGUAACGGCUUACCAAGGCAACGAUGCGUAGCCGACCUGAGAGGGUGAUCGGCCACACUGGAACUGAGACACGGUCCAGACUCCUACGGGAGACAGCAGUAGGGAAUCUUCCGCAAUGGGCGAAAGCCUGACGGAGCAACGCCGCGUGAGUGAUGAAGGUCUUCGGAUCGUAAAACUCUGUUAUUAGGGAAGAACAAAUGUGUAAGUAACUAUGCACGUCUUGACGGUACCUAAUCAGAAAGCCACGGCUAACUACGUG